AGGGAAUCUUCCACAAUGGACGAAAGUCUGAUGGAGCAACGCCGGGUGAGUGAUGAAGGUUUUCGGAUCGUAAAACUAUGUUGUAAGGGAAGAACCAGUACGUCAGGCAAUGGACGUACCUUGACUGUACCUUAUUAGAAAGCCACGGCUAACUACGUGCCAGCAGCCGCGGUAAUACGUAGGUGGCAAGCGUUGUCCGGAAUUAUUGGGCGUAAAGCGCGCGCAGGUGGUUUCUUAAGUCUGAUGUGAAAGCCCACGGCUUAACCGGGGGGUCAUUGGGAACCGGCGGACUUGAGUGCAGAAGAGGAAAGUGGGAUUCCAAGUGUAGCCGUGAAAUGCGUAGAGAUUUGGAUGAACAACCGUGGCGAAGGCGACUUUCUGGUCUGCAACUUACGCUUAGGCGCGAAAGCAUGGGGAGCAAACA
Molecule: ribosomal RNA, 424 nt
Filed under: uncultured Rummeliibacillus sp.
Lineage: Bacteria; Bacillati; Bacillota; Bacilli; Caryophanales; Caryophanaceae
Description: bacterial SSU rRNA
Rfam family: Bacterial small subunit ribosomal RNA
Source: RNAcentral